Argentina anserina (silverweed cinquefoil) is the source of this 2056-nucleotide long non-coding RNA. RefSeq lists it as uncharacterized. The record is from RefSeq and is a predicted model, not a curated record. The transcript is spliced from 5 exons. NCBI's taxonomy places the organism in Eukaryota, Viridiplantae, Streptophyta, Magnoliopsida, Rosales, Rosaceae.
ACUCUAACUAAAUACUGUAGUAGAAUACUCCCUUCAGACAAAUAGGGGUGAGAUAAGGAUAUCAGCACUAUUCCCAAAAAUCAUCGAUCUGCUCCUUCACCCGCGCGACGACCAACGACGAUUCUACCGUCGUGAGAUCGAUUCUGGCCGGCACACUAUUCUGACCUUCUCCAUCUCGCCGUCGUAGACCUGCUGGUGGUAGCUUGCUCUAUCGCCGCAGGAGAAGAAAAUCGAUGCCCCUACUGUUUUGGGUUCCUUCCGGCGACUUCGCAGCGUUUUCUGACGUCUCCGACCACCGAUCGGGUUGUUCUUGGCAUCGAUUUAAGUUGUAAUUAGUUUUUGGAUUGGAUGAAGUUUUGAUAAACUUAAUUUCUGGGUUUUGAUGUUCUUCGACAUUGGGACUGGUUUUGGCAUCCAUUUGAUUUAAUGGUUAUCUCAUUCUGGGUUUACUAGUCUCCAGAAGAUGAAUUAAUGAAAUUGAUUAUGGCUAUUGCUUGAAAUGAAGAAGAUUAGGGUUUCGACGCCUCUCUCUGGUGGGACCCGUUCUCUCUCCUCCUCCUCCGACCUCCCUCCCAAUCUGGUCAAGAAAUUGAAGGCCAAUCACGCCUGGUUCGUCGGCACAGUGAGCCUCUUCAAGCCGCUGAGUGAGAAAUCAAAGGCCGCUUUGGAUUCGCAGCUCGUCAAGAUCGGCUCUCACCAGCUCGAUAUCAAGCCUGAGUUGAAGGACAAGGCUCUCACCAUCAGCUCCUACUUGGUGAGCUUCGAGAUUUUGAUUUUGUGUUUAUAGUUGCUUAUCUUAUAGAAAUUUGGAUAUUUUGUGCAUUAAUCUGUGGAAAAUUGUACUCCUGAUUGCUUUCAUUUGCGUCGUCGAUUGUCGUGUUGUGAUGAGAGUUAGUUUGUGGUUAUCUCUUAUGCAUGUGUUGAUUUACUAUUAUAUUGAGCGGCAAUAAUGCUGAAGUGUACCAGGAGUAUACUCAUGCUUGCUUGUAAGUCAUUAGUGAGAGCUAAAAUCUCUAGGAGAUUAUGGAUACUUUCUGAAGACUCUGGACAAUGUUUGAAAUUUGUACUUACUAUUUGAUGUUGGAUGCAACAAUGUCUCUGGGAAUUGAAUCUGGAGAAGGAAGUGCUAUUAAGGAGGAAGCACUGAAGUUGGUUUCUGAUGGACUGGAGAAGAAAUUAAUAUCUCUGCUGCAAGACCUAUUUUCUUCCAGUCCCACUGAUGAAAUGGAUGUUGACUUUUUUAGUUUGUGGGCUGAGGAGACACUAAUUGAAGACAAUUUGGUUUUCGAAAUUCUUUUCCUUGCUUAUUACGAGUCACUUUGUACUUGUAAUGGUGGAACAUGAAAAGUUAUAUGCUUGCUCUAUAAGGGGAUUUUAUCUGGGUCUUCUAACUUUUAAAAGCUGGGAACAUCUACUGAAGCACUGCGAUCCUGUUACCAAGCUAAAGUUCAGAUUCUUCUAAUUCUUAUAGAAACCCUCGACCUGGAGAGUCUUCUCAAAAUGGUCCAUGAUGAAGUACCUUUCAGGACAAUGUUAUUUCCUGGAUCAUGUCACCAAGUAUGAACAUGCCCUUAGGGAGGCUAAGGGAUGAACUCUGUGUUUGUGAGGCAGACACAUGCAUGCUUUGACUGGUGGUCUGGUCUGGUCUUUCAAUAUCUGGGCUGGUCUUGCAUCAAAAGCUUAAAAUACUGGUGCAGUGACUGGUGGACCUGAUAGCAUUAAGAAGUUCAUAGCAGCACUCACUGAAGUUGCAGAGAAGAAAUCUCAAUCAAUCCUAGAAAUGCAAUCAACUCCAAUGGAAGGGUAUGUGCAUUUACUUGGACAGUAGGCUUUAGGAGCUCGUUUUUUAGGCAUAUUGCUAGUAUCUAUUCUCCUUCUUUUUAUCUUAGACUCGGUUAGUAUCUAUUAGGGUCCUUUUGGACAUGAAUUAUGUAUAUUUUGGGUAAUGGCUUCUGCUACAUUAGAUACAACAAUAUUAUGUUAGAUUCUGACUAGGAAGUAGUCAAAUCAUGUAAUUAUUGUGGUCUGGAAAUGACCCUUUUUGUAUAUUGCUCAA